The sequence is a small RNA, 287 nucleotides long. It matches the Rfam family "5' ureB small RNA".
CUGUUUGGAUAAGUUGCGGACAGAUAAAGUGAAUAUGCGAGUCGAUACCACCAGCCGUUACAAUCAUGCCCUCUGCUGCAAUGACUUCAGUAGAAGCACCAAUAACAAUAUCAAUAUUGUCCAUCAAAUAAGGGUUUCCUGCUUUCCCUAUUGAUGCUAUCCGACCAUCCCUCACUCCAAUAUCUGCCUUAUAUAUCCCUGUAUAAUCUACGAUUAGCGCAUUCGUUACUACAAGAUCAACUGAAUCUUUUCGAGUUGCAAGUGGGUGCUGGCCCAUUCCAUCUCUG